Molecule: long non-coding RNA, 241 nt
Filed under: Crocodylus porosus (Australian saltwater crocodile)
Lineage: Eukaryota; Metazoa; Chordata; Crocodylia; Crocodylidae
Description: lncRNA (ENSCPRG00005009345.1)
Source: RNAcentral
CGGCCCCCCACACACAUCAGUGCCAGCCAGCCAGCCAUGACCAGAUAAGAAGAAAUGGAAUUCCUUAUCACAAAAAAAAGAAAAAGAAAACCCUGCAAAAGGUCAAGAGAAACAGGAUCCAUGACUGACAGAGUAAGGCCUAGGGUUGGGAAGAUGAAGACAGUGGAUAUCUCCUGCCUGUGGAAAUCUCCUGCCUAACUUAAUUCAGGCUCACUCUUUAUCCCAAAAUUGGAAUAAUCUG